UUUAUGGAGAGUUUGAUCCUGGCUCAGGAUGAACGCUGGCGGCGUGCCUAAUACAUGCAAGUCGAGCGAACGGACGAGAAGCUUGCUUCUCUGUUGUUAGCGGCGGACGGGCGAGUAACACGUGGAUAACCUACCUAUAAGACUGGGAUAACUUCGGGAAACCGGAGCUAAUACCGGAUAAUAUUUUGAACCGCAUGGUUCAAAAG
Molecule: ribosomal RNA, 206 nt
Filed under: Staphylococcus aureus
Lineage: Bacteria; Bacillati; Bacillota; Bacilli; Caryophanales; Staphylococcaceae
Description: partial 16S ribosomal RNA
Rfam family: Bacterial small subunit ribosomal RNA
Source: RNAcentral